GCGCCCACCAUGGGCGUCAUGAUGGCCCUGGUGGCCGUGCUGCAGAGCGCCGGCAACGCCAUCCGCGCCAUCUGCUCCGGUACGGGGGCGGCAGGGGCGCGGGGUGGGGGGGCCCGUCUCAUAUCUGCCCCAAAAUGGCCCCGUUUCCAUGAGGUGGUCCUCAAAGAUGGCUGCGUUGCCCCAAAAUGGCACUGUUUCCAUGAGGUGUUGCCCUAAAAUGGCCCCGUUUCUGUGAGGGGUUCCUCCAAGAUGGCCGCCUUCCUCCAAGAUGGCCGCGUUGCCCCAAAACGGCCCCAUUUCCCCCCAAAACAGCCACUUUUUCACCACCAUGAGCCCCAAACCCCAAACACCCAUAUUUUGUCACCCGGAAGCCCAAACCCUCCCCAGAAACACCCGUAUUUUGUCACCCGGAAGCCCAAAUCCGAACCCAAACAUCAACGUUUUGGUCCCAUGAAUACCAAACAACCGCGUUUUGUCACCGGGACCCCCAGACCCUCCCCAAAACGCCUGUAUUUUGUCACCUGGAACCCCAAACUGUCUCCAAAACACCCAUAUUUUGUCACCGGGAACCCCAGACCAUCGCGCAAAACCCCCAUGUUUUGUCACCCGGAACCCCAAACUGUCCCCAGAAACACCUGUAUCUUGUCACCGGGAACCCCAAACCCUCCCCAAAACACCCGUAUCUCGUCACCAGGAACCCCAGACCCUCCAAAACACCCAUAUUUUGUCACCCAGAAUCCCAAACCCUCCCCAAAGCACCUGUAUUUUGUCAUCGGGAACCCCAGACCCUCCCCAAAACACCCGUAUUUGGUCACCUGGAAUCCCAAACCCUCCCCAGAAACACCCGUAUCUCGUCACUGUGAACCCCAAACCCUCCCCCAAAACACCUGUAUUUUGUCACCGUGAACCCCAAAUCCUCCCCAGAAACACUCAUAUUUCGGUACCACAAAUCCAAAACCCUCCCAGAAACACCUGUAUUUCGUCACCGUGAAACCUAGACUCUCCCCAAAACACCCGUACCUCGUCACCAGGAACCCCAGACCCUCCAAAACACCUGUAUUUUGUCACCGUGAACCACAAAUCCUCCCCCAAAACACUUGUAAUUUGUCACCCGGAAUCCCAAACGCUCCCUAGAAACACCCAUAUUUUGGUACCGUGAAUCCCAAACCUUCCCCCAAACCACCUUUUUUUUGUCACCGUGAACCCCAGACCCUCCCCAAAACACCCGUAUCUCGUCACCGGGGACCCCAAACCCUCCCCAAAACACCCAUACCUUGUCACCAGGAACCCCAGACCCUCCAGAACAUCCAUAUUUUGUCACCCGGAACCCCAGAUCCUCCCCAGAAACACCUGUAUCUUGUCACCGGGGACCCCAAACCCUCCCCAAAACACCCAUAUUUUGUCACCCGGAAUCCCAAACCCUCCCCAGAAACACCUGUAUUUCAUCACCGUGAACCACAAACCCUCCCCCAAAACACUUGUAAUUUGUCACCCGGAAUCCCAAACCCUCCCCAGAAACACCUGUAUUUCGUCACCGGGAACCCCAACCCCUCCCCAGAAACACCCGUAUUUUUGUCACCGCGAACCCUAGAUUCUCCCCGAAACACCCGUACCU
This 1615-nucleotide long non-coding RNA is filed under the name Apteryx rowi (Okarito brown kiwi). RNAcentral describes it as "lncRNA (ENSARWG00000006504.1)". The record is from RNAcentral. Lineage: Eukaryota; Metazoa; Chordata; Aves; Apterygiformes; Apterygidae.